UUUAUUGAGAGUUUGAUCCUGGCUCAGGACGAACGCUGGCGGCGUGCCUAACACAUGCAAGUCGAGCGAAUGAAGUUCCUUCGGGAACGGAUUU
Molecule: ribosomal RNA, 94 nt
Filed under: Clostridium sp.
Lineage: Bacteria; Bacillati; Bacillota; Clostridia; Eubacteriales; Clostridiaceae
Description: partial 16S ribosomal RNA
Rfam family: Bacterial small subunit ribosomal RNA
Source: RNAcentral